Molecule: ribosomal RNA, 496 nt
Filed under: uncultured bacterium
Lineage: Bacteria
Description: partial 16S ribosomal RNA
Rfam family: Bacterial small subunit ribosomal RNA
Source: RNAcentral
AACGAACGCUGGCGGCGCGUCUUAAGCAUGCAAGUCGAACGGCAAGAGAGGAGCUUGCUUCUCUCCUAGAGUGGCGGACUGGUGAGGAACACGUGGGUAAUCUACCCUUAAGAUGGGGAUAGCUGCUAGAAAUAGCAGGUAAUACCGAAUACACUCGGCAUAUCACAAGAGGUGUUGAGGAAAGGAAGCUACGGCUUCGCUUGAGGAUGAGCUUGCGUCCCAUUAGCUAGUUGGUGAGGUAAAGGCCCACCAAGGCGACGAUGGGUAUCCGGCCUGAGAGGGUGAACGGACACAUUGGGACUGAGAUACGGCCCAAACUCCUACGGGAGGCAGCAGCCAAGAAUAUUCCGCAAUGGACGGAAGUCUGACGGAGCGACGCCGCGUGGAUGAAGAAGGCUGAAAAGUUGUAAAAUCCUUUUGUUGAUGAAGAAUAAGGGUGAGAGGGAAUGCUCAUCUGAUGACGGUAAUCGACGAAUAAGCCCCGGCUAAUUACGUG